This 67-nucleotide transfer RNA is filed under the name Dermacentor sp. Its description in RNAcentral is "tRNA-Gln". Lineage: Eukaryota; Metazoa; Arthropoda; Arachnida; Ixodida; Ixodidae. The record is from RNAcentral.
UGACUUUAGGUGUGAUCGCACAAAAAAUUUUGAAUUUUUAGGAAAUAAUUAAUUUUAUUAAAGUUAA